AAAACCUAGGUUGUCUGCUGUGUUUACUGUUGCUAAGGGCUGGGCACAUAAGGAGGGUAGUUUGUGACUCAACUGGCUGCCACCAGCUCCACUCCCAUCCGUCCUUCACACCGAUGACAGUAGCUCCCCAUGGGUAUGACUUGUGACCCCUGGUACAUAGUACAAAGUGGGUAGGCAUGCUAUUCUGGUGUCCCUACCCUAGUGACCUUCCCUGGUGUCCCUGCCUCUCCCCCGGACCAGCUCCUAGGCUCACAGCAAAUCCUCUAAGACUCCAUCAAAGAUUUGAAUAUUGAAGUAGUGACCUUCAUUUUCCAGAUCCCUCAUCCCACACACAUCCCACCUGUUCAUGGGUGUCCCGGCCUCCUCUGGGGGGGACCCCUCUUACACCCUAUCUUUCCCUACAGGUGACAAUCUGAAAGAGGACGAAUUUAGCCUGGAGAAAGCAUACAGCCAUUUCCGGCCAAACCUGGAGAAUGUGGACACGAAAACCCAGAGGCCUAAGGUGGUGAAACCAGCAGCCCAAAUUUAGACAAGAGAGGGACAGAGUCCCCACCACCAGUAUCCCUGCUUGGUUAAGAUGAAGCUGACACCACAUCCCAAAGCUAUUCUGAGGCGCUCGGACUCAGUCUGCGUGUCAGUGCUAGAAGGACUUAUCAAAGCAGCAGAGAAGAGGCCUGGGAGCCAGGUACCUUCUCCUCCUCACCGUCACCUCCACGUUCCAGGGGCCCAAAGACUCUUAGGCACCUCACCAUCUUCGUUUGCGUGUAGGCAUUGCUCUACUCUGGAAUUUCCCUAUUAAUAAAGCACUUUUUAAAAGAA
Rattus rattus (black rat) is the source of this 819-nucleotide long non-coding RNA. RefSeq lists it as uncharacterized. The record is from RefSeq and is a predicted model, not a curated record. NCBI's taxonomy places the organism in Eukaryota, Metazoa, Chordata, Mammalia, Rodentia, Muridae. The transcript has 2 exons.